ACGCACGCUGGCGGCGUGCUUAACACAUGCAAGUCGGACGGUGAAGCGCCUUCCUUUUUGGUGGGUGUGGAUGAGUGGCGAACGGGUGAGUAACACGUGAGUAACCUGCCCCCUUCUUCUGGAUAACCGCAUGAAAGUGUGGCUAAUACGGGAUAUUCUGGGUCUGUCGCAUGAUGGGUCUGGGAAAGAUAUUGUUUCGGUGGGGGAUGGGCUCGCGGCCUAUCAGCUUGUUGGUGGGGUGAUGGCCUACCAAGGCGGUGACGGGUAGCCGGCCUGAGAGGGUGGACGGUCACACUGGGACUGAGACACGGCCCAGACUCCUACGGGAGGCAGCAGUGGGGAAUAUUGCACAAUGGGCGCAAGCCUGAUGCAGCGACGCCGCGUGAGGGAUGGAGGCCUUCGGGUUGUGAACCUCUUUCGCCAGUGAAGCAGGCCUGCCUCGUUUGUGGGUGGGUUGACGGUAGCUGGAUAAGAAGCGCCGGCUAACUACGUG
This 493-nucleotide ribosomal RNA is filed under the name uncultured bacterium. Its description in RNAcentral is "partial 16S ribosomal RNA". It matches the Rfam family "Bacterial small subunit ribosomal RNA", at positions 29 to 507 of the family's 1533-position model. The record is from RNAcentral.